Molecule: ribosomal RNA, 261 nt
Filed under: uncultured bacterium
Lineage: Bacteria
Description: partial 16S ribosomal RNA
Rfam family: Bacterial small subunit ribosomal RNA
Source: RNAcentral
UACGUAGGGUCCGAGCGUUUGUCCGGAAUUAUUGGGCGUAAAGGGCUCGUAGGCGGUCUGUCGCGUCGGGAGUGAAAUCUUACAGCUUAACUGUGAACUUGCUUUCGAUACGGGCAGACUUGAGGCAUUCAGGGGAGAACGGAAUUCCUGGUGUAGCGGUGAAAUGCGCAGAUAUCAGGGAGGAACCGACCGGUGGCGGAAGGCGGGUUCUCUGGGAAUGAUCCUGACGCUGGAGGAGCGAAAGUGUGGGGAGCGAACAGG